ACGCUAGCUACAGGCUUAACACAUGCAAGUCGAGGGGCAGCAUGGUCUUAGCUUGCUAAGGCCGAUGGCGACCGGCGCACGGGUGAGUAACACGUAUCCAACCUGCCGUCUACUCUUGGACAGCCUUCUGAAAGGAAGAUUAAUACAAGAUGGCAUCAUGAGUCCGCAUGUUCACAUGAUUAAAGGUAUUCCGGUAGACGAUGGGGAUGCGUUCCAUUAGAUAGUAGGCGGGGUAACGGCCCACCUAGUCUUCGAUGGAUAGGGGUUCUGAGAGGAAGGUCCCCCACAUUGGAACUGAGACACGGUCCAAACUCCUACGGGAGGCAGCAGUGAGGAAUAUUGGUCAAUGGGCGAGAGCCUGAACCAGCCAAGUAGCGUGAAGGAUGACUGCCUUAUGGGUUGUAAACUUCUUUUAUAAAGGAAUAAAGUCGGGUAUGGAUACCCGUUUGCAUGUACUUUAUGAAUAAGGAUCGGCUAACUCCGUGCCAGCAGCCGCGGUAAUACGGAGGAUUCGAGCGUUAUCCGGAUUUAUUGGGUUUAAAGGGAGCGUAGAUGGAUGUUUAAGUCAGUUGUGAAAGUUUGCGGCUCAACCGUAAAAUUGCAGUUGAUACUGGAUAUCUUGAGUGCAGUUGAGGCAGGCGGAAUUCGUGGUGUAGCGGUGAAAUGCUUAGAUAUCACGAAGAACUCCGAUUGCGAAGGCAGCCUGCUAAGCUGCAACUGACAUUGAGGCUCGAAAGUGUGGGUAUCAAACAGGAUUAGAUACCCUGGUAGUCCACACGGUAAACGAUGAAUACUCGCUGUUUGCGAUAUACGGCAAGCGACCAAGCGAAAGCGUUAAGUAUUCCACCUGGGGAGUACGCCGGCAACGGUGAAACUCAAAGGAAUUGACGGGGGCCCGCACAAGCGGAGGAACAUGUGGUUUAAUUCGAUGAUACGCGAGGAACCUUACCCGGGCUUAAAUUGCAGAUGAAUUACGGUGAAAGCCGUAAGCCGCAAGGCAUUUGUGAAGGUGCUGCAUGGUUGUCGUCAGCUCGUGCCGUGAGGUGUCGGCUUAAGUGCCAUAACGAGCGCAACCCUUGUUGUCAGUUACUAACAGGUUCUGCUGAGGACUCUGACAAGACUGCCAUCGUAAGAUGUGAGGAAGGUGGGGAUGACGUCAAAUCAGCACGGCCUUUACGUCCGGGGCUACACACGUGUUACAAUGGGGGGUACAGAGGGCCGCUACCACGCGAGUGGAUGCCAAUCCCAAAAACCUCUCUCAGUUCGGACUGGAGUCUGCAACCCGACUCCACGAAGCUGGAUUCGCUAGUAAUCGCGCAUCAGCCACGGCGCGGUGAAUACGUUCCCGGGCCUUGUACACACCGCCCGUCAAGCCAUGAAAGCCGGGGGUACUAAAAGUACGUAACCGCAAGGAGCGUCCUAGGGUAAAACU
This 1432-nucleotide ribosomal RNA is filed under the name uncultured organism. Its description in RNAcentral is "SSU rRNA". It matches the Rfam family "Bacterial small subunit ribosomal RNA". The record is from RNAcentral.